UGACCUCAAAUCAGGUAGGACUACCCGCUGAACUUAAGCAUAUCAAUAAGCGGAGGAAAAGAAACUAACAAGGAUUCCCCUAGUAACUGCGAGUGAAGCGGGAAAAGCUCAAAUUUAAAAUCUGGCGGUCUUUUGGCUGUCCGAGUUGUAAUCUAGAGAAGUGUUAUCCGCGCUGGACCAUGUACAAGUCUCCUGGAAUGGAGCGUCGUAGAGGGUGAGAAUCCCGUCUUUGACAUGGACUGCCAGGGCUUUUGUGAUGCGCUCUCAAAGAGUCGAGUUGUUUGGGAAUGCAGCUCAAAAUGGGUGGUAAAUUCCAUCUAAAGCUAAAUAUUGGCGAGAGACCGAUAGUGAACAAGUACCGUGAGGGAAAGAUGAAAAGAACUUUGGAAAGAGAGUUAAACAGUACGUGAAAUUGCUGAAAGGGAAACGCUUGAAGUCAGUCACGUCGACCAGGGAUCAACCCUGCUUUUGCUUGGUGCACUUCCUGGUUUGAUGGGUCAGCAUCAAUUUUGACCAUUGGAAAAAGAUCAAGGGAAUGUGGCAUCUCUGGAUGUGUUUAUAGCCCUUGGUCACAUACAAUGGUUGGGAUUGAGGAACUCAGCACGCCCUUGUGGAGUGCUUAGGAUGCUGAUAUAAUGGCUUUAAUCGACCCGUCUUGAAACACGGACCAAGGAGUCUAACAUGCCUGCGAGUGUUUGGGUGGAAAACCCGAGCGCGUAAUGAAAGUGAAAGGUUGAGAUCCCUGUCGUGGGGAGCAUCGACGCCCGGACCAGACCUUUUGUGACGGUUCCGCGGUAGAGCAUGUAU
Molecule: ribosomal RNA, 807 nt
Filed under: Cortinarius brunneus ectomycorrhiza V30
Lineage: Eukaryota; Fungi; Basidiomycota; Agaricomycetes; Agaricales; Cortinariaceae
Description: eukaryotic LSU rRNA
Rfam family: Eukaryotic large subunit ribosomal RNA
Source: RNAcentral